UUGGAGGGCAAGUCUGGUGCCAGCAGCCGCGGUAAUUCCAGCUCCAAUAGCGUAUAUUAAAGUUGUUGCAGUUAAAAAGCUCGUAGUUGAAUUUCGAGAUCAGUACGCUGGUCGUGCCUUCGGUAUGCACUGGUGUCACUGGUUUCUCCCUUCUGAAGAACCGUCAUGUCAUUAAGUUGGUGUGGCGGGGAAUCAGGACUGUUACUUUGAAAAAAUUAGAGUGUUUAAAGCAGGCUCGCGCUUGAAUACAUUAGCAUGGAAUAAUGAAAUAGGACGUUUGACCCUAUUUUGUUGGUUUCUAGGAUCGACGUAAUGAUUAAUAGGGAUAGUUGGGGGCAUUAGUAUUCAAUUGUCAGAGGUGAAAUUCUUGGAUUUAUUGAAGACUAACUACUGCGAAAGCAUUUGCCAAGGAUGUUUUCAUUAAUCAAGAACGUAAGUUAGGGGAUCGAAGACGAUCAGAUACCGUCGUAGUCUUAACCAUAAACUAUGCCGACUAGGGAUCGAAUGAUGUUAAUUUUUUAAUGACUCAUUCGGCGCCUUACGGGAAACCAAAGUGUUUGGGUUC
This 565-nucleotide ribosomal RNA is filed under the name uncultured Glomus. RNAcentral's name for it is "SSU rRNA". It matches the Rfam family "Eukaryotic small subunit ribosomal RNA", at positions 548 to 1114 of the family's 1831-position model. Lineage: Eukaryota; Fungi; Glomeromycota; Glomeromycetes; Glomerales; Glomeraceae. The record is from RNAcentral.